This 458-nucleotide ribosomal RNA is filed under the name uncultured bacterium. RNAcentral describes it as "bacterial SSU rRNA". It matches the Rfam family "Bacterial small subunit ribosomal RNA", at positions 158 to 611 of the family's 1533-position model. The record is from RNAcentral.
GGGCGCUAGUACCGCAUACGUCCUGAGGGGGAAAGUGGGGGAUCUUCGGAGCUCACGCUAUCAGAUGAGCCUAGGUCGGAUUAGCUAGUUGGUGGGGUAAAGGCCUACCAAGGCGACGAUCCGUAACUGGUCUGAGAGGAUGAUCAGUCACACUGGAACUGAGACACGGUCCAGACUCCUACGGGAGGCAGCAGUGGGGAAUAUUGGACAAUGGGCGAAAGCCUGAUCCAGCCAUGCCGCGUGUGUGAAGAAGGUCUUCGGAUUGUAAAGCACUUUAAGUUGGGAGGAAGGGCAGUAAGUUAAUACCUUGCUGUUUUGACGUUACCAACAGAAUAAGCACCGGCUAACUUCGUGCCAGCAGCCGCGGUAAUACGAAGGGUGCAAGCGUUAAUCGGAAUUACUGGGCGUAAAGCGCGCGUAGGUGGUUCAGCAAGUUGGAUGUGAAAUCCCCGGGCUCA